Molecule: long non-coding RNA, 1347 nt
Organism: Ornithorhynchus anatinus (platypus)
Lineage: Eukaryota; Metazoa; Chordata; Mammalia; Monotremata; Ornithorhynchidae
Exons: 3
Source: RefSeq, a predicted model, not a curated record
AUAGAUACGAUCGAAUGAAUGAAUGAAUGAAUGAAUGAAUGAAUGAAUGAACCUAGCGGCGGCCAUUUAUGGUGCCGGCUGACUCUGCUUCCCCCCCCAACUCCCUCCAGCCCGGCCCGUUCCUAACGAAGCAAAGAAAUACCCACGGAAAUCCAGCAAUCCGUAUUUACCGGAGCGCUCACUCUGUGCGGAGCACCGGAUGGGGGCCAUCUCCGGCGCUUCUUUCCCAUCGAAUUGGAGAACGCACCUCCGACCGGACUGGGAGCUCGCUGCGGGCAGGGAUUGUCUCCGUCUAUUGCCGUAUUGCACUUUCCCCAUGUAAGCGCUCCAUAAAUACCAUAGAAUGAACGAACGAACGAACUGGAUACGCCAUCGGAAUAUGGCGUUCUGACCCCAGCUCCGCCACUCGCGUGCUGUGUGACUCUGGGUUUCCCUCUUGCACCUUACUGCUCCACUAAGCACAUCAAGUGGAUAAAUGUCAGCGGGAGCAGUGACGUGGGCAGAAGACAGUGGGUUAAGGUGUACUUUGACCACAGAAUCAACUAUCCCUCAAUCUCUUCCAUCAAGGUACCUUGCCAGAAGGUUGACUCAUCUUCUCCCACCCCCCCAUCCCUAGAGAAAAUUUGAAGUGAAGGGAUGUGAAAGGAAAUAGUUAUAAUAUCCUGUUUAGUGUUAAACAGAAGUGCUGCAUGAACAUUUUAAAGCGCUUCACAAGAACUUUUUCCUAGGGCAGCUGUUUAAAAUAAAGCAGUUCUGGAAGAAAACUGUUGAGAAGCUUCCUCUAAUGGGUGGUUUCCCAUCUACCUAGCCCAGCAGAAGCAUCUACAAACCACAAUCACAUAUGUCACAGAAAUGGGCAGAAAAUGCAGGAAAAGCAGGAAUGCUCAUUUCUGGAACAAUGAUUCUUUCACAGAGACAAAUGGUAGGUACUUACCUGGAGUGCAAUUCUUCAGACAGGAGAACCUAUGCUUCUGUUUAGUGCAGUCUCUACUGCUAUUUUUAGAAGCUUCCCAGUUUCAUCUCUACAACUUCCAUGACAACCUUCCCUUAUCCUCCCAAGAAUUGCGCAACUUGAAAAGAAUCUUACCACACAAAGUUUUACUUUCUAUUUAGUGAUGAACAGAGGAAAGAAUUCAAGAGCGUUGCCCAGCAUUCCAUGUUAUGACUAAACUGGAAGUUAAUGUCAAACAAAUACAGCUUCCCACUAUUUGGUGUAUGGAAAAGUCUUGGUGAUAUGAUGACCGUGAGGCUUCUAAACACCCAAAAUGAAUGACCCGGACACCACCAUAUUCCUUAAACUAUAAGGAACUGAUAUUUCUAGUGGGGAAAAAAGUUACUUACCUAAAC